UCGGGAAUUUUGGGCAAUGGGGGCAACCCUGACCCAGCAACGCCGCGUGAAGGAUGAAGUCCCUCGGGAUGUAAACUUCGAAAGAAUGGGAAGAAUCAAUGACGGUACCAUUUGUAAGCCCCGGCUAACUCCGUGCCAGCAGCCGCGGUAAUACGGAGGGGGCAAGCGUUGUUCGGAUUUACUGGGCGUAAAGCGCGUGUAGGCGGUUUGGUAAGUUACUUGUGAAAUCUCUGAGCUUAACUCAGAGCGGUCAAGUAAUACUGCCGAACUAGAGUGCAGAAGGGGCAACUGGAAUUCUUGGUGUAGCGGUGAAAUGCGUAGAUAUCAAGAGGAACACCUGAGGCGAAGGCGGGUUGCUGGGCUGACACUGACGCUGAGACGCGAAAGCUAGGGGAGCAAA
This 400-nucleotide ribosomal RNA is filed under the name uncultured bacterium. Its description in RNAcentral is "bacterial SSU rRNA". It matches the Rfam family "Bacterial small subunit ribosomal RNA", at positions 355 to 772 of the family's 1533-position model. The record is from RNAcentral.